GACGAACGCUGGCGGCGUGCUUAACACAUGCAAGUCGAACGGAAAGUCCCUGCUUUUUUGGGGUGCUCGAGUUGCGAACUGGUGAGUAACCCUUGAGUACCCUGCCCUUGACUUUGGGAUAACUUCAUGAAACUUGGUCUCAUCCCGGCUAGGAGCUCCUGCUGCAUGGUGGGGGUUGGAAAGUUUCGGCGGUUGGUGAUGGACUCGCGGCUUAUCACCUUGUUGGUUGGGUAGUGGCUUACCAAGGCUUUCACGGAUAGCCGUCCGGCGCGGGUGACCGGCGACAAGGGGAAUGAGAAACGGGCCAGAGCCCUAAGGGAGGCAGGAGUGAGGAAUAUGGAACAAUGGGCGGAAGCCGGAAGCAGCAACGAGGAGUGCGGGAUGAGGGACGUAGGGUUGUAAACCGCUAACGCCUGUGACGAAGCAUGAGUGACGGUAAAGGGUAAAGAAGCACCGGCGAAAAACGUG
This 468-nucleotide ribosomal RNA is filed under the name uncultured bacterium. Its description in RNAcentral is "partial 16S ribosomal RNA". It matches the Rfam family "Bacterial small subunit ribosomal RNA", at positions 28 to 507 of the family's 1533-position model. The record is from RNAcentral.